GCAGCGUCGAUUUAUCCCCCACCUUCCUCCCCAGGAUCGUGCCGACCGCGCGCGUCGGGCGGACGACCGUCAUCAUGAUCUUCACCAGCGUGCUUUUCCCCGCGCCAUUGGGACCGAGCAACCCGAAGAUUUCCCCCCGCCGAACCCGCAUCUCGAUCCCGCGCAGCGCGUGGACCUUCCCCUUGUAAACCUUUGUCACGUCAUGAAGGUCGAUGGCGAGAUCGCUCGGGCUGGUUGCAGUCAUGAUUAAAACUUCAUCUCAAACCCCACCUUGAGGUACGGCUCAUCGCUGAUGUCCGUCAGUUCGUCCGUCUC
Molecule: unclassified non-coding RNA, 315 nt
Filed under: uncultured bacterium
Lineage: Bacteria
Description: contains 16S-23S intergenic spacer region
Source: RNAcentral